This 579-nucleotide ribosomal RNA is filed under the name Triticum aestivum (bread wheat). RNAcentral's name for it is "partial small subunit ribosomal RNA". The record is from RNAcentral. Lineage: Eukaryota; Viridiplantae; Streptophyta; Magnoliopsida; Poales; Poaceae.
AUGGAACCUAAGCGUGCCCCUGGCCCCGAUAGUAUCCCGGCCGAAUUUUAUCAACAUUGUUGGGAGGUGGUUAAUGCAGACUUGUAUCGUUUAUUCGAAUGGUUUUACGAAGGUAAAUUGGAUGUACAGAGACUGAAUUAUGGCAUAAUUACCCUGUUGCCUAAAUCCUCUGAAGCCAAGAGAAUCCAGCAAUAUAGACCCAUUUGUUUGCUGCGAUGUCCCUAUAAACUGAUCACUAAGGUGAUGGAUAGGAGGGUGAGUGUCUAUGCUCCUAAGUUGUUUAGUAUCCAGCAAAAUGCCUUUAUAAAAGAAAUAAAUAUUAUGGAUGGUGUCCUUUCCCUCCAUGAAAUUAUGCAUUAUGCUCACAUCAAAAAACAGGUCGGGGUUAUCCUUAAUCUUGACUUUGAGAAAGCGUACGACAAAGUUAACUGGGAUUUCCUUCUCGACUGUCAUGUUAAACGAUGGUUUAAUGACAAAUGGUGUGGUUGGGUUUCUCAAAUUCUUCGUAAUGGUACGGUUAGUGUCAAGAUUAAUGAUGAGACGGGUCCGUAUAUCCAGAGUGCUAAAGGUGUCCGAUAG